GACGAACGCUGGCGGCGUGCUUAACACAUGCAAGUCGAGCGGAGCGGCGAACGGGUGAGUAACGCGUGAGUAACUGCCCCCCUCUCUGGGGUCACAGUUGGAAACGGCUGCUAAUACCGGAUAGUGGGGGAUGAGUCGGGUCCUAUCAGCUUGUUGGUGGGGUAGUGGCCUACGAAGGCGACGACGGGUAGCCGGCCUGGGAGGGGGACCGGCCACAUUGGGCUGGGUGACGGCCCACACGCCGACGGGAGGCAGCAGUGGGGAACAGUGCACAAGGGGGGAAACCUUGAUGCAGCAACGCGCGUGCGGGAUGUCGGCCUUCGGGUUGUGAACCGCUUUCAGCCAUGACGCGGUAGUGGCAGCAGAAGCACCGGCUAACUACGUGCCAGCAGCCGCGGUAAUAC
Molecule: ribosomal RNA, 404 nt
Filed under: uncultured bacterium
Lineage: Bacteria
Description: partial 16S ribosomal RNA
Rfam family: Bacterial small subunit ribosomal RNA
Source: RNAcentral